This 485-nucleotide ribosomal RNA is filed under the name uncultured bacterium. RNAcentral describes it as "bacterial SSU rRNA". It matches the Rfam family "Bacterial small subunit ribosomal RNA", at positions 28 to 521 of the family's 1533-position model. The record is from RNAcentral.
GACGAACGCUGGCGGCGUGCUUAACACAUGCAAGUCGAACGAGGUCCACCGCGUAGCAAUACAAGGGAAGACCUAGUGGCGAACGGGUGCGUAACACGUGAGGAACUUGUCCCGGUCUCUGGGAUAACAGUUGGAAACGACUGCUAAUACCGGAUGACGUCGGAGCAUCGCAUGGUGCGCUGACGAAAGGGUUACUGGAUCGGGAGAGCCUCGCGGCCUAUCAGCUUGUUGGUGGGGUAACGGCCUACCAAGGCAUCGACGGGUAGCUGGUCUGAGAGGAUGAUCAGCCACACUGGGACUGAGACACGGCCCAGACUCCUACGGGAGGCAGCAGUGGGGAAUCUUGCGCAAUGGGCGAAAGCCUGACGCAGCAACGCCGCGUGCGGGAAGAAGGCCCUCGGGUUGUAAACCGCUUUCAGCAGGAACGAAAAUGACGGUACUUGCAGAAGAAGGUGGCGGCCAACUAACGUGCCAGCAGCCGCGGU